Molecule: ribosomal RNA, 425 nt
Filed under: uncultured bacterium
Lineage: Bacteria
Description: bacterial SSU rRNA
Rfam family: Bacterial small subunit ribosomal RNA
Source: RNAcentral
GAAUUUUGGACAAUGGGGGCAACCCUGAUCCAGCAAUGCCGCGUGAGUGAAGAAGGCCUUCGGGUUGUAAAGCUCUUUUGUCAGGGAAGAAAAGGCUGUGGCUAAUAUCCACAGCUGCUGACGGUACCUGAAGAAUAAGCACCGGCUAACUACGUGCCAGCAGCCGCGGUAAUACGUAGGGUGCAAGCGUUAAUCGGAAUUACUGGGCGUAAAGCGUGCGCAGGCGGUUUCGUAAGUCUGUCGUGAAAUCCCCGGGCUUAACCUGGGAAUGGCGAUGGAGACUGCGAGGCUAGAGUUUGGCAGAGGGGGGUAGAAUUCCACGUGUAGCAGUGAAAUGCGUAGAGAUGUGGAGGAACACCGAUGGCGAAGGCAGCCCCCUGGGUCAAAACUGACGCUCAUGCACGAAAGCGUGGGGAGCAAACAGG